UCUCUAAAUUCUGAGGCUAAUGUAUUAUUUUCUUCUGUCCCUGUUUAAACAUCCCACAUUACAGCUACAUGAGUAAACGUUUGAUGACAGAGACAGAUUUCCUUACAAUUUCUAAUAUCCCUUAUUAAGUUUUGUCCAGCUCAUGAACUGAAAUGUUUUUCUUGUAUUGCGAGGAAUUACUUCCCAUUUUAGUAGGGCAACUAUUUUCCUUUUACUCACAGUCAAAGCACACAGGACAUUUACUUCCUCUUCUAGUGUCUGACAAUAAACAUUACCUGUUUCAAAUAAACACAUUAAGUUACAGUAUUUUCUAACCAACAUCCAAGGAUUUAGAACUAAGACUUACAUUUUAAGUACAUUCCGUAUAAAACAAAGUUCAGUUCUAUCUAUUCACCAAUAAGUUCACCAUAAAGUAUUGUGGUGAUUAUGUAAUAAUGUGCUUUGUGGUCUUGUUGCACCACAGCAUUUAGUAAUAAUUAGGUCAUAAUAAAGAGUUCUCUUUUGCUUGCAAAUGCCCUAUCAAAACACAACGGUUUCUACUUCCAAAAUUUACUUGUCAGAACAAUUAAUUACUGUUGUCCUCAUGGGAGCUGAUGUUGAAUAGCUCAACAAUGCCCUAAGAAAAGUUAAUGAAAUGUGUCUAUAAGUCAGUAUCUGCAGUAAGAUCAUACAAAAAAAGAAAAUAUAUAGAUUAUUUACUAUGAAGUAGCCAUGCUUAAAUGUUGUGUUUUUCUUUAUGAUGUUACAGUAUGAGGUGUAGAAUAUCUAAAAAGACAAACUGGGUGCUGGAAAGAAGAAAAAGUCUUUUUCUGUGUCUACACAUCACAAAGUAUUAUCCACAAUGUUUUCUUUAAGAGAGUUUGUCUAUGACACAUCUUCACAGACCACAGCUAACCACUAACCACGAUUUCCUGUAACGUAUUUGACAUACUUUUAAUACAGUUCAGCUCCAAUCUACUACUGCUGGACAACUAUGUUGAUGUCUGUGAGAGGAGAUAAGAGUCACCUCCUCUGCAGGCCUGGAUGGUAGUCUUGGGUUUGUUCAGCAGCAGUCUGAAUUAGACAUAUCCACUGGGUAUCUUCCAAAGUUUCAGUCGUUUUAGUGCAGAAUUCCACCCACAUGCGGCGCUGUGACAUAUAAUACUAACACAAAGCAGUCACACUGUACCAUCAUUAGAUACGACAGAUCGAAUCGAAAUGUGUUUCUCCAAACUGCAUGACAUUUCUAAUAUGCUUUUCUUUUUGUCUUUAUGUCUGCUGUCGUGAUUACUUCAGAUUACUCAAACUUCUCUUAUAUGUUGAUUACUUGAGUUCACAAACAUCACAAACAGCUUCUUUCUCUUAGCCAUCAGGACUCUGAACUCCUCCCUGUUGCUCCCUCCUCACAUAACACUGACAUCCAUUACCCUGAUUGUCUGCUGUUGUCCAUUUAUGUAUUUGUGCUGCUGAGAAUAAUAUACUGUACCAAAAAACAUUUUUUAAAUCUAUCCAUCUAAGCUCAUGUUACUUUUUCUUCACAAACAUUGCUUGCAUUUAUUAGGUUUAUUUAGUGAGUAAAGAUUUGUGUUUAAGUCUAAACGUUAUGUUUUUAAUUGACCUUGUUAAAAUGCUUGCAGCUAUAUGUGCAUGUAGGUACAAAGGUACAAGCCAAGGAAUCAACUUAAGUCAAGUUUAUUUGGAUAGCUCAUUGUCACACAUCAAGUAAAAGAGCAUGACAUAGGCUUAGGCCCACAACAGCAGACAUCCCCAGCCUAGCCCAACUAUUCAUACAAGAAAACCAUUUGAAAAUAUCAUAGUGCUGAAUAUUGGUGUCCUACCUGGACAACAUUUACACAAGCAAGAACAAAAAUAAAUGCCCAUUCAUUGUUGAGAUGUCACAUUAAGAAUCAAAACAAGCUUUUAGGGAGCUUAAUUAUGCACAGUUAUUAAUGUUUCAUGCUAAAGUACUGAUGAUUAACAGGGGCACUGUGUCUGAGUUAAUGGCAGUGCUGUCUGGUGUCUUAUAACUUUUAAGAAAUUUAAAAUGAAAAACAUAGUUGCUUUGGCUGUAUAGAAAAUCCAAGUGAUUUCAUAAAUUAGAUUUCUUGUGUUUUAAAA
Molecule: long non-coding RNA, 2097 nt
Organism: Sander lucioperca (pikeperch)
Lineage: Eukaryota; Metazoa; Chordata; Actinopteri; Perciformes; Percidae
Exons: 2
Source: RefSeq, a predicted model, not a curated record